RNAcentral lists this ribosomal RNA (497 nucleotides) under uncultured bacterium. RNAcentral's name for it is "partial 16S ribosomal RNA". It matches the Rfam family "Bacterial small subunit ribosomal RNA", at positions 28 to 507 of the family's 1533-position model. The record is from RNAcentral.
GAUGAACGCUGGCGGCGUGCCUAAUACAUGCAAGUCGAGCGAGCGGACGAGAAGCUUGCUUCUCUGAUGUUAGCGGCGGACGGGUGAGUAACACGUGGAUAACCUACCUAUAAGACUGGGAUAACUUCGGGAAACCGUAGCUAAUACCGGAUAAUAUUUUGAACCGCAUGGUUCAAAAGUGAAAGACGGUCUUGCUGUCACUUAUAGAUGGAUCCGCGCUGCAUUAGCUAGUUGGUAAGGUAACGGCUUACCAAGGCAACGAUGCAUAGCCGACCUGAGAGGGUGAUCGGCCACACUGGAACUGGGACACGGUCCAGACUCCUACGGGAGGCAGCAGUAGGGAAUCUUCCGCAAUGGGCGAAAGCCUGACGGAGCAACGCCGCGUGAGUGAUGAAGGUCUUCGGAUCGUAAAACUCUGUUAUUAGGGAAGAACAUAUGUGUAAGUAACUGUGCACAUCUUGACGGUACCUAAUCAGAAAGCCACGGCUAACUACGUG